This 305-nucleotide ribosomal RNA is filed under the name uncultured bacterium. Its description in RNAcentral is "bacterial SSU rRNA". It matches the Rfam family "Bacterial small subunit ribosomal RNA", at positions 333 to 655 of the family's 1533-position model. The record is from RNAcentral.
CAUUCCCUACGGGGCGCAGCAGUGGGGAAUAUUGCACAAUGGGGGAAACCCUGAUGCAGCAACGCCGCGUGAGUGAAGAAGUAUUUCGGUAUGUAAAGCUCUAUCAGCAGGGAAGAAAAUGACGGUACCUGACCAAGAAGCCCCGGCUAACUACGUGCCAGCAGCCGCGGUAAUACGUAGGGGGCAAGCGUUAUCCGGAUUUACUGGGGGUAAAGGGAGCGUAGGCGGCUAUGUAAGCCAGAAGUGAAAGCCCGAGGCUCAACCACGGGACUGCUUUUGGAACUACAUGGCUUGAUUGCAGGAGG